UACAGAGGCCCCAAGCGUUACUGAGAAUCACUGGGUUUAAAGGGUGCGUAGGUGGCGCGUUAAGUCCGUUGUGAAAUCCCUGGGCUCAACCCAGGAAUUGCUUUGGAUACUGGCGUGCUUGAGGCUAGUAGGGGUCACUGGAACUGACGGUGGAGCGGUGAAAUGCGUAGAUAUCGUCAGGAACGCCAAUGGUGAAGACAGGUGACUGGGCUAGUUCUGACACUGAGGCACGAAAGCGUGGGGAGCAAACAGG
RNAcentral lists this ribosomal RNA (253 nucleotides) under uncultured bacterium. Its description in RNAcentral is "partial 16S ribosomal RNA". It matches the Rfam family "Bacterial small subunit ribosomal RNA", at positions 524 to 776 of the family's 1533-position model. The record is from RNAcentral.